UACGGAGGGUGCAAGCGUUGUUCGGAUUUAUUGGGCGUAAAGCGCGUGUAGGCGGUUUCUUAAGUCUGAUGUGAAAGCCCCGGGCUCAACCCGGGAAGUGCAUUGGAUACUGGGAGACUUGAAUACGGGAGAGGGUAGUGGAAUUCCUAGUGUAGGAGUGAAAUCCGUAGAUAUUAGGAGGAACACCGGUGGCGAAGGCGGCCAACUGGACAGAUACUGACGCUGAGACACGAAAGCGUGGGGAGCAAACAGG
Molecule: ribosomal RNA, 253 nt
Filed under: uncultured bacterium
Lineage: Bacteria
Description: partial 16S ribosomal RNA
Rfam family: Bacterial small subunit ribosomal RNA
Source: RNAcentral